GGUCAAUGGCCUAACGGCCGAACCAGCAAUUUGGGGGAAUGUGAUAUCUUUUAGUCGGGAUAUCAAUAUAAACGACUAUGUCGUAUAAAGUUCUAGAUAGAUGAUUGAUAAUGACAGUUUUCUAUCUAUAUGUCUUGACCAAAUCUUGUGCCAGCAGUCGCGGCAAUACAAGUAAGACUAGUGUUAUUCAUCUUAAUUAGGUUUAAAGGGUACCUAGACAGUAUUUCUAGCCUCCAAAGGGAACAGAUUUACUAGAGUUUUAUGUGAGAGGAAAAUAUUAGAACCAUUGGAGUAGUGAUAAAAUGUUUUGAUACUAAUGGGACGGAUAACGGCGAAGGCAAACCUCUAUGUAAUAACUGACGUUGAGGGACGAAGGCUUGGGUAGCGAAUAGGAUUAGAUACCCUAGUAGUCCAAGCAGAGAAUUAUGAAUGUUAUAGAUUAAAAUAUUUGGUGUAUAAAUGAAAGUGUAAGCAUUCCACCUCAAGAGUAAUGCGGCAACGCAGGAACUGAAAUCAUUAGACCGUUUCUGAAACCAGUAGUGAAGUAUGUUAUUUAA
RNAcentral lists this ribosomal RNA (557 nucleotides) under Cladosporium bruhnei. Its description in RNAcentral is "SSU rRNA". It matches the Rfam family "Bacterial small subunit ribosomal RNA", at positions 366 to 949 of the family's 1533-position model. The record is from RNAcentral. Lineage: Eukaryota; Fungi; Ascomycota; Dothideomycetes; Cladosporiales; Cladosporiaceae.